Molecule: ribosomal RNA, 445 nt
Filed under: uncultured bacterium
Lineage: Bacteria
Description: bacterial SSU rRNA
Rfam family: Bacterial small subunit ribosomal RNA
Source: RNAcentral
AUUGAACGCUGGCGGUAUGCUUAAGACAUGCAAGUCGAACGGUAACAGACCUUCGGGUGCUGACGAGUGGCGGACGGGUGAGUAACACGUGGGAAUCUACCUUGUAGUGGGGGAUAAGCCAGGGAAACUUGGACUAAUACCGCAUACGCCCUAAGGGGAAAGGAGCAAUUCGCUAUAAGAUGAGCCCGCGUCUGAUUAGCUAGUUGGUGAGGUAAAGGCUCACCAAGGCGACGAUCAGUAGCUGGUCUGAGAGGAUGACCAGCCACAUUGGGACUGAGACACGGCCCAGACUCCUACGGGAGGCAGCAGUCGGGAAUAUUGGACAAUGGGGGCGAACCCUGAUCCAGCAAUACCGCGUGUGUGAAGAAGGCCUGCGGGUUGUAAAGCACUUUUAGUAGGGAAGAUAAUGACGUUACCUACAGAAAAAGCACCGGCUAACUACGUG